Molecule: long non-coding RNA, 419 nt
Organism: Suricata suricatta (meerkat)
Lineage: Eukaryota; Metazoa; Chordata; Mammalia; Carnivora; Herpestidae
Exons: 2
Source: RefSeq, a predicted model, not a curated record
GCGACCGUGACCUCCCGGAGUCUGGCGUCGCACCUCGUGCCUCCGUCGGCGGUAGCUACCUGGGGCGUUGUGUCGGAGGAGGGCGUGUCCGCACCACCGAGUCAUCCAUUCCACUGGAAACCUUUCCUGCGCACCCAACCGGCAGCGGGUGGUCACCUGCACGGAAUGACGCUGAUCACAGAAGCCAGGAGUGACCCCCGAUGCUGUUGAUGUGAAGGGACUCAUGGCAUGCACUUUAGGGAAUGCCGAGGCCGCAGAGAGGAAGGACCGUAGACGAAAGAGCAACACUGCCAGUGGAAAGACCGCUGCAGGAAACCUGCUGGCAGACGGCAGAGGGCUGACCGAGGGCUGGCACAGCACAUCUGAGGACACCCCAGGGAUCACCAACAAGACUUGGAAAAUGAAUUGAGUCAAGUUGA